This 253-nucleotide ribosomal RNA is filed under the name uncultured bacterium. Its description in RNAcentral is "partial 16S ribosomal RNA". It matches the Rfam family "Bacterial small subunit ribosomal RNA", at positions 524 to 776 of the family's 1533-position model. The record is from RNAcentral.
UACGUAGGGGGCAAGCGUUAUCCGGAUUUACUGGGUGUAAAGGGAGCGUAGACGACGAUGCAAGUCUGAAGUGAAAGCCCGGGGCUCAACCCCGGGACUGCUUUGGAAACUGUAUGGCUGGAGUGCUGGAGAGGCAAGCGGAAUUCCUAGUGUAGCGGUGAAAUGCGUAGAUAUUAGGAAGAACACCAGUGGCGAAGGCGGCUUGCUGGACAGUAACUGACGUUGAGGCUCGAAAGCGUGGGGAGCAAACAGG